Long non-coding RNA from Mauremys reevesii (Reeves's turtle), 533 nucleotides. RefSeq lists it as uncharacterized. The record is from RefSeq and is a predicted model, not a curated record. The transcript is spliced from 3 exons. NCBI's taxonomy places the organism in Eukaryota, Metazoa, Chordata, Testudines, Geoemydidae.
CUAAGGGUCCCCCGUGCAUCAUAUGGGCAUUCUUGAGUGUGCAGAUUGCAUCAGACCUGCACCUGAAUAAUUAAUAGUGACUGAAAUAUGCAGACACUAAAGUUCUGCAGCCAAAUUCUCAGAAACCUUCCUCUUCAAUGUAAGAUCAGGAUUUUGGUUUAAAUUUAUUUUUAUUUAAAAAAAAUUGCUAAGCAGAUGCUACACUGUAAGAAGAGGAAAGAGAAUCAAAAACUGAAAGAUUGUUACUAAAACCAGUGAACAACUGCAGAGAGUGGAGACCCGGCAAAGCAAACAAAUGAAUACUGAAAAAGAUCCCCAAAGGAGAUGUAAGGAUCCGGAACUCUAAUGUCUGCCAGAAACUUCAGCCACCUUCACAGGCUAGGGCUCACCGUCCAUUGUGGAGGUGAAGACCAGAUGAGAGCUGCUGGAUUGACCUUGAUGUGCCAUGUCCUUGUGUGGAUGAAGGACCUACAUCUCAGGGAUGGCCAGCAGCAGAUGUAACACAUGUGUCCAGGAAUGGGCUAAAUAACCUA